This 503-nucleotide ribosomal RNA is filed under the name uncultured bacterium. Its description in RNAcentral is "partial 16S ribosomal RNA". It matches the Rfam family "Bacterial small subunit ribosomal RNA", at positions 30 to 523 of the family's 1533-position model. The record is from RNAcentral.
AUUGAACGCUGGCGGCAGGCUUAACACAUGCAAGUCGAGCGGGGUGAUGGUGCUUGCACUAUCACUUAGCGGCGGACGGGUGAGUAAUGCUUAGGAAUCUGCCUAUUAGUGGGGGACAACAUCUCGAAAGGGAUGCUAAUACCGCAUACGUCCUACGGGAGAAAGCAGUGGAUCACUUGUGACCUUGCGCUAAUAGAUGAGCCUAAGUCGGAUUGGCUAGUUGGUGGGGUAAAGGCCUACCAAGGCGACGAUCUGUAGCGGGUCUGAGAGGAUGAUCCGCCACACUGGGACUGAGACACGGCCCAGACUCCUACGGGAGGCAGCAGUGGGGAAUAUUGGACAAUGGGGGGAACCCUGAUCCAGCCAUGCCGCGUGUGUGAAUAAGGUCUUAUGGUUGUAAAGCACUUUAAGCGAGGAGGAGGCUCUUUUGGUUAAUACCCAAGAUGUGUGGACGUUACUCGCAGAAUAAGCACCGGCUAACUCUGUGCCAGCCGCCGCGGUAA